RNAcentral lists this long non-coding RNA (222 nucleotides) under Elaeis guineensis (African oil palm). RNAcentral describes it as "long non-coding RNA (EGUI_LNC026106)". The record is from RNAcentral. Lineage: Eukaryota; Viridiplantae; Streptophyta; Magnoliopsida; Arecales; Arecaceae.
AUGGUCCAGAUCGUAGGCGGUCUUGAUCUAAUGGUCUGGGACAUUGUUUUUAUGUGAUCAGGAAUUUUGAUGGGAUUGGGACUCGGAUUGAAGCUUUAAAAGACCUGUGGCAAGCAGAGGGCUUAGAAGAUCCAUGGCGUGGAGAGUUUGACAGAACCUGAGUAGCAGCCACAAGCAGGGGCAAUAGCAGGAGGCCCUGAAGAGGCACCGAUAGAAAGUAGG